CAAAUCUAUAAAUAUAACAGUAUUAAACAUAUAUAUAUAUAUAUAAAUAUAAUGUUAAUGUCAGAAUAUGUUGGUAAUAUGGUGAUAACUAGUCAGAUUGUAAGUCAGAUGAUAAUAGUAGAUAGAGGCGAUAGGGAGGUUGAAAGAGCCGUGACACGUUUUAAAAUUUUGCUAACCGUCGAUAGAUUAAAUAAUGAAGUUGUAAACGUUUUUUGCCUUUUCGAUGUUGUUGUACUAUCAUGGUUAUAAAUAACUUUAUUUAUAACAAAAAUUAUCAAAUAACAAAUAUAAGUGUUUUGAAGUUUGACUACUUAAGUUUAAGAUAUAAGAACAAAAAUACAAAAUUUCAACGAGUAAUAGUUUAAAUAAAAGGAAAGGUGGAGAGCAAAAAUUGCGAGACAAAAAAACAACACAACUCAAAUAUAUAGGAAAUGAUUCUAAACAGAGUAAAAUAAAUUUUUUUAUUUAAUCAACUGCUUUAUCAAACGAUGAUGACGUAAUGCCAACUAAACAAAAUGUUAAAGGAUCAUUUUUGCCAUUGCCUGAAAAGAAAGUUCCCUAUUAUUAUUCCUUGUAUUCCCUAUAAAGAAAGAAAGUGCAUUGGUUAAUAAUUUAGAAUCAGAAUGUAUAACUUUGAACCAUACAAUUGUUAAAAAUACAGUUUUGUAAAUAAUGGAAAUAAUUACAAAAAAUGGAAAGAAAUCAAAGCACCAUUGGAUCGCCAUCAAAGAAUUAAUAGACAUGUUAUUUCUAUGCAACGUUGGAUAGACUAUAAAUUAGUUCAGAAAAAAAUUGACUUUAUAUAACACAACAAUUAUAUUCUGCAAGACAACUUAGAAUAAAUGAAAACCAUUCACAUGUACAUUUCUUACUCAAAGCAACUCUGUUUUUGGCAAAAUAAGGAUUACUUUUUAGAGGUCACAAAGAGCAAUUUUAUUGAACUUAUACAAAUGUUUGGCGAUGAUAGACUAAAUUAUAAACUACAGUCUAUGUAUGAUAUUAUACUAGUCCUGAAUAUCAAAAUUAUUUAAUUGUAACUAUUGCAAAAUGCACAAGACAACAAAUAUUAAGGAACAUUAAUAAAUUUUGAAUUUAUACAAUUAUCAUUGAUGAGACAAAAGAUAAAUCUAAGGAAGAACAAAUGAGUUUUGUUAUAAGGUUUCUGGAUGACAAUUUUAAUAUACAUCAAAAAUCCAUUGGCUGUUAACAUAUGGUUAAAUCUGAUUCUGAAAGCUUAUUUAAUCAAAUAAUUAAAGUAAUUUCAGAAAAUAAUUUAGAUAUAAACAAAUAUGUAGCACAAUGUUAUGAUGGUGCAUCAGUUAUGAGCGGAAUGUACAGGGUCUAGUCUCCUCAAGUGUUAAGAACCCCUGAAUAUUAUUUUAUAAUUGUGUGGAGUAUAUAAUACAUGGUCGUCCGACUGUCGUCGAACACAGGAAUGUGCUGACCAAGGGUUUUAGGGCAACCAUGGGCAAAGGACUCCCACUGUAGGUACCCUACAGUCAGUCGUGGUUUAGUAUGCGCUAGUUACACUCAUUCUAUAUCAUUCUAAAUCAUUCUAUAUCAUUCUAAAUCAUUCUAUAUCAUUCUAUAUCAUUAUAUUUUAUUAUUCUAUUCAUUUGUAUUAAUAUUAAUAAAUAACGUGUAUUG
Long non-coding RNA from Daktulosphaira vitifoliae (grape phylloxera), 1647 nucleotides. RefSeq lists it as uncharacterized. NCBI's taxonomy places the organism in Eukaryota, Metazoa, Arthropoda, Insecta, Hemiptera, Phylloxeridae. The record is from RefSeq and is a predicted model, not a curated record. The transcript is spliced from 4 exons.